UACGUAGGUGGCAAGCGUUGUCCGGAAUUAUUGGGCGUAAAGCGCGCGCAGGUGGUUUCUUAAGUCUGAUGUGAAAGCCCACGGCUCAACCGUGGAGGGUUAUUGGAAACUGGGAAACUUGAGUGCAGGAGAGAAGAGUGGAAUUCCACGUGUAGCGGUGAAAUGCGUAGAGAUGUGGAGGAACACCAGUGGCGAAGGCGACUCUUUGGCCUGUAACUGACACUGAGGCGCGAAAGCGUGGGGAGCAAACAGG
Molecule: ribosomal RNA, 253 nt
Filed under: uncultured bacterium
Lineage: Bacteria
Description: partial 16S ribosomal RNA
Rfam family: Bacterial small subunit ribosomal RNA
Source: RNAcentral